GCUACCUCAUUGCUUCGAAGUUCGAAAAACGAUUGCUAGAAACAUGGUUUUUUCAAUGAUAGACGCAGAUCGAGCGCUAUUUAAUUUGGGACCUAACAACGUACGGCAGAGCUACUAUAGCUCCCUGUGAAACACAUGGGAAUUUAGAAGCACACGAUUAAGAUCUCUCGGAGAACUCUAGCUAGCUAGCUACCAUUCUAAUCUCUACUGCUAAUUAAGUACCUAUUGUAGGCGUUCACAGCCAACCGUGGUGCACGUUCUGCCACAUCCAAACCGUCCAACCCGCAUCCAACGCCGCUGCCGCAUCCCGCGUCGCUCCCCCACUCGUCCCUGCCGCAGCCCCCGCGAUCCCCUUCCCACGCAUGGCGUUCCUGCCGCAGCCCCCGCGGUCCUUUCGGUGUUCUCGCUUCUAGCGACGACGGCGGCGGCCCAGGGAAGGUACCGCGCGGUGUUCAGUUUCGGGGACUCGCUGGUGGACGCCGGCAACCUGGUCACGGAGGGCAUCCCGGACUACCUCGCCACCGCGCGCCCGCCCUACGGCCAGACCUACUUCGGCUACCCCACCGGCAGGUGCUCCGACGGCCGCCUCGUCGUCGAUUUCAUCGCGCAGGAGUUGGGCCUCCCGCUGCCGCCGCCGUCCAAGGCCAAGAACGCCAGCUUCGCACAGGGCGCCAACUUCGCCAUCACCGGCGCCACCGCGCUCGACACCGACUUCUUCCGGAAGCGAGGGCUCGGCAGCACCGUGUGGAACUCCGGCUCCCUCCGCACGCAAAUCCAGUGGCUGCGAGACCUCAAGCCAUCGCUCUGCAGCUCCGCGCAAGGCACACGAUGCAAGGAGUUCUUCGCUGAGUGCCUGUUCGUCGUAGGCGAAUUCGGUGGGAACGACUACAACGCCCCGCUGUUCGCCGGCAAGGACCUCAGGGAGGCAUACAAGCUGACGCCCCACGUGAUCCGAGCCAUCUCCGAUGGAGUCGAACAACUGAUUGCCGAGGGGGCAAAGGAUUUGAUCGUGCCCGGAGUGAUGCCAUCAGGGUGCUUUCCGGUCUACCUGACCAUGUACGUUGACCCCAAGGAAGGGCAUGGCUCGCGCACCAGCUGCCUCAAGCGGUUCAACACUUGAAUUGAAGUGCAUCGAGGUUCCUCAGGCAUGGCUCGCGCACAGCUCACAUGAAACGUUUGGUCGGGGAGCACGACAGCUACUUACGUGGCACGACAGGGGGCGCCUGCGUGCCAAUCGCCCUCAGCGGCUCGAGGUUCCUCGCACUUCAAUUCACAGGUUUGGGCGGAUUGGCAGGUUGGUCUUGCGAAUUGCAACCAGCAGAGAUGAUAUUGAAGUCGUGGCUGUGAAUGACCCUUUCAUUGAUGCUAAGUACAUGGUGAAGACAAUUACCUAUCCUCUGCAAUCCAACUAUAUGUAGAGAUCGUCAUCAAAAGAAACCUCAGGCUUUGUAUUCAACAGGACCUUUACAAACGACUAACUUAGAUCGGCGAGAGUAGAGAAUAAGGCAAGGAUCUUUGAGCAGAAUGCCACUGAUAGUGAGUGCAAGGUCGAUCCUAAAGUGCUCUCCAAGCUAUAUGAUCCGUGAGUGAUGCCACAGACCAAGGAUGUCGAAGUUGAGUACCUCCUGCGCUGCCUUGACUAAUCACCGAUUAGCUAUAGCUGUAAAUUUUAUGUAUGCAUGGUUUCAGUUGCGCUCGAACCAAUUGUCUUGACCUUGAAUGGACAUUUUGAUGUUUAUUUCAUCUGAUGUGUCAUGUUUCAUGACGUAGACUUUCGUUUCUUGUGAUUGAUUUAUAGUGAACCUGUAAGAUGUAAAAUAACCUUUAUGACAGAACCAGCUGCAAGAAUAGAGUAUUUUGAGGAACCUUUGUUGAAGUAAA
This is an RNA transcript of Zea mays, 1881 nucleotides long. It is a transcript of the gene named GDSL esterase/lipase pseudogene, with no coding region annotated. The record is from RefSeq and is marked validated. NCBI's taxonomy places the organism in Eukaryota, Viridiplantae, Streptophyta, Magnoliopsida, Poales, Poaceae. The transcript has 7 exons.